AAAUUUAAUAGGCAAACUUAGGGAAAUCUAAGGACGCAAAGCUAUAGGGACUAAUGUUUCAACAAACUAUGUCAGCCAGUUGCCAAA
Molecule: non-coding RNA, 87 nt
Organism: Lysinibacillus contaminans
Lineage: Bacteria; Bacillati; Bacillota; Bacilli; Caryophanales; Bacillaceae
Source: Rfam